RNAcentral lists this long non-coding RNA (999 nucleotides) under Brassica rapa (field mustard). Its description in RNAcentral is "long non-coding RNA (BRAP_LNC000518)". Lineage: Eukaryota; Viridiplantae; Streptophyta; Magnoliopsida; Brassicales; Brassicaceae. The record is from RNAcentral.
UUUGUUAUACACAUGCAAUCUCCAUCGGAAUUGAGGACCUUAAUGUCUUCUCUGGUAAUCAAACGCUCAUCAGAGCUUUAAAUAGCAAGCUCGCACACAAAGAGAUCUUCGGUAUUGUCUCCGAUAUCAAAGUUCUUACAGUUUUGUUUCACGCGAUCUCCUUCUUCCAUAUCUCUCGCUCAAGGAACCUAGAGAAAGAUAGGUUCUGCAAGUCAGUCUUGUGUGAUCCUCUAUCUGCUAUGGACUUCUCCUUUGGCCGUUUAGUAUUAUCCAAUAACCUGAGAUUUGUAAUUGGUUGAACCCUUUUUAGCUCUUCUUUAAUAUAAUUCAGUUGAUUAAAAAAAAGAAAAAAAAUUAGCAUAUCUCUAGAUCUAGCAUUGCGAGGCAAACGAGAUACAUUUACUAAACUAAAAGCACUAAAUCUUUCUUUAUUGAAAAAUAACCCUUGUAGUUCGGUAGGAAUAGCUAGCCGAUUUUCGAAUAACACUUAUACAUGUCAUCUAAAUCCAUAAAACAAUAAGACGAACUUAGUUGACGAUUAAUAUAUAUGAGAUUCAUGCACUCGUUUGAAGACGAACUUAGUUGACGAUGAAUAGACCACUGCUCUAAGAUACGUAUGUAAUAUUGCUAUAUACUCAGAUAAUGAUAAAACACUAUAUAGAGAUAGAUACGAACUGUAUAUAUAUGUAUAGAUGCAAUAUGAAGAACAUGUAUGAAAAUUGAAGUAGGUGAUGGAAAACGACAAGUAGUCAAAAAGAAGGACCCACACGGCAAAUAUGAGUGCAUACUUUGUUUGGCGCAGAUAGUCGGAUAAGUGUCAGCGACUCAUUAUUCUUUUCUUCAAACCUCAGAUCAUGAUACUAACAAAAUUUUCAACUUUUCCUAAGAAUUUUUACUAGUGUUUAUAUUUAUAUUUUUAUGAACAUUAUUUAUUUUAUUAUUUUCGGAACCAAAGUUUAUCUGUUAAUUUUUUAUUAGUUUCAUAUAUUUCAAAUAAAU